UACGUAGGGGGCAAGCGUUGUCCGGAUUUAUUGGGCGUAAAGGGCGCGUAGGCGGCCUGAUAAGUAGGGGGUGAAAUCCUGCGGCUUAACCGCAGGGCUGCCUCUAAACUGUCAGGCUUGAGCACAGUAGAGGCAGGUGGAAUUCCCGGUGCAGCGGUGGAAUGCGUAGAGAUCGGGAAGAACAUCAGUGGCGAAGGCGGCCUGCUGGGCUGUUGCUGACGCUGAGGCGCGACAGCGUGGGGGAGCAAACAGG
RNAcentral lists this ribosomal RNA (253 nucleotides) under uncultured bacterium. RNAcentral's name for it is "partial 16S ribosomal RNA". It matches the Rfam family "Bacterial small subunit ribosomal RNA", at positions 524 to 776 of the family's 1533-position model. The record is from RNAcentral.